UACUUGGGCGAGAGUAGUAGUAGGAUGGGUGACCUCCCGGAAAGUACUCGUGUUGCAUCCCUCUUUUCUUUUUUUUUGUUAAAAAUGUACGACUUUAUAACUUUUAGACCAUGAGGCCAAACUUGGAAUGUGAUACCUUUUCGGAAAGCCCAAAGAGAGCUCUCCUAUGAAUGAGGAAAGAAAAUGGAAUUCUUCUAUUGGUUUUUUAUUCUACUCCAAAUUUUGACCUUAAUGUACUUUUUUGGUCUUUUUCGUGAUCUUUGCUAUAUGACAGGGCGAAAAUUAUAUGAUCG
Molecule: small RNA, 293 nt
Filed under: Arabidopsis thaliana (thale cress)
Lineage: Eukaryota; Viridiplantae; Streptophyta; Magnoliopsida; Brassicales; Brassicaceae
Source: RNAcentral